CGCCGCGCCUCCUCACCCGCUCGCCGCGCCGCGCCUCCUCCCGCCGCUCGCCGAACCUACUGAUCCACGCGUGACCAUCAUGCCGCACCACACCACAAAGGAGGGGACAGCGGCGAGGACGGUUCCACACCGGUCGGCGGCGCGGUGAACACGAAGGAGGCAACCAGGACACCGACGCCAAGCCGGCGACCAGGGCGGACACCAUCUCAAUCUCCGGUCAUUUCUUCCUCUGGUGUAUUCACCUCAUCACACCAUUAGUUCUGAUCAAGGAUCUGGAUGUGGUGCAAGCUACAAACACUACCCGGAAGGAGGCAUCGGGAUUGUUAUUGACUCGGAGGAGCAGGAGGCACCCGGAGAGGGAGUAAGCACCUUGACAAUGACAGCCAUGACCCGGCUUAUUUGGUUAUCCUUCAUAUGUCACCUAGGUUGGUUUGUGGGAAUUGACAUGCAUUGUUGUUCCAUUUAACUGAUUUAUUUGAUAAAUAUAUGACCAUAUGAGUAACCUAUUGUUUGUUUUAGUACCAUUUUACUUAUCUAUUUGAUAAACAUGUGACCAUAUGAGUAACAUAUUGUUUGUUUUAGUACUACCAGACACCGCAUUCCUAUUUAAUAGGGAAUUUAUUAUCUAUCAUUCAGGCUAUAAUAAUUGUUUUUUACUAGCGAUUGAAGCUUUAUUGUAUGCUUUAGAUUUAUCUAUUACUAUUAAACAAUCAAACAUAUUCAUCUCUAAAUGCAUCCAACCUAAUCUACGUGUAACAUCCCAAACUAAUUAUAGCCUCAUGAUCCGAAUCACUUGAUUUUAUCUAACAAUUUAGAUUACUCUAUCUGUCACACAUGAGUGCGUUUAGCAAUAUUAGAGUGCAUACGAAAACUCUUCCGUCCCAUUAUGACUCGCGGUGGCGACCCCAUCAAUCACGCCCAAAAAAAAGAAUCAGAUCCCAAUCAGAUCCCCUCACCCUCAACCGGGCGAUGCACCACCGGCUUGCCAUCACAAGACUUCCCAGUUGGCGUGAUCCUCCUCCCCCUUCUCACUAGAUUUCAUCUUCGCCAAUGAGAGGUGCUCUAGGGGGGCUCCGGCGACGGUGGUGGGGAGCAGCGACGCAUUGGCGGGCAGCAGUGCUUAUGCAGCACAUAGCGGCAGCGCUGUAGGGCGGGAAAAUGGAGGCCUGAUGGCGCUGAAGGCGGAUCUCGGCCGCGGAUCUUGGCCGUGAGAGUGACACGCAGAGGCUGUUGGCAGCCGCAUCACCAAGCGGCAACCCCGCCGCCACACCCCCACACAAGCGCAGCGCCCCCAGAUCGCUGAGCCACAACCCCGCCGUUCCCUGCCAAAGGUCGCCGACGCCUUCCCCAACUUUUGGGUCGGCACCCAGAUUGUAGGCCUCCCUUUUAGCACCUUUUAGUGUUUGGUUAACACGUUUCUAUGAAAUUGAAGGUAUCAGUAAGGUUAUGUUGUGUGUUCACAUUAAUUUAGAAAUUGUAUGUAUAAAUUGAGUGCAUCCGAUGUUGUGCUUCUCAUGUUCCCUUGAAUGGAUGGAUGGAAAGAUGUUUUAUCUUUCAGGAUUUCUGGUGUGCGUACGAUCCUCUAAAUAACUUUUUUUCAUCUCAUGCAGCAACAGAGGUUUAGUGUAAGGCGUUGCAGCAUGGAUGCACAUGGGAUGCUGCACGUUAAAGUCCUUUACUUUGUUGAUAAUUUCUGUGAUGUAGAUUAUAAGUUAUAUAACAGAAAUAGAAUUUAAUUUGUGUAUGGUGUGGAUUCCAAAACUAAUCUGCUUCUAUUGAAACGCUCGCUUGUACUAGAAUUUUUCUAAAGCUAAUGGAAUCCCCUUGUACUCCGUCUAAAGCUUUCACGAUGACUACUUUUCCAAGAUACAUGUGACAGAGAGUAGGAGCUCAGGGAGCUGAAUGUGAAAGGAUAAAGUAGUCGGGAAGGAGAAAUCAUAUGUUGGAUUAACUAAUGCUUCCUAAUCAGUAUGCUUUUCAUAUUGUCGUUUAUAUUGAACUAAUAUAGUUUGCUUUUGAUUAAGGAUCUUGACAUGGCACCUAGCUGUUUUUGAUUUCCUGUAGUUUUUGUUGAUCUUCUCCUUCUUCGGAUUAAAUUGCUCAUUGCUUUUCCUAUUCUUUUGCAGGAACAUGAACCUUAUGAUGACCCAUAGUUGGAUGUAUGUGAGAGAUAAACAUUCAGACAUCCUUGAUGACUGGGAUUCUAGGAAGACGAUCACAUACUCGACCAGGCCACCUGUCACCGCGAGACAAGCUAAAAGUGAAGCAACUACAGUCAAUUUAGAGAAAGGGGAAAAGAAAAUGUAUGACACAAGGACCCUAAACCCUAAACAUUUGCAUUCCUGAUCCUAUUUAUGAUCCUACAAGGGCUAUCUCUAUGAGCUGAACAAUUAUAGCAGAUGACACAAUCAAAUUCAGAGGCUCUGUGCAAAAAUAUUUGUGCUUGGAUCUUCUGAUGAUGCCCACGGAGCCGCUGCAGUAAUCUCCUCGGCAGUCGGCACUUCCCUUCUUCGCCUUCUUUGAUCGAGAGCACGACGGUUUCUCUCCAUGUCCCCGUCGGCAUAUCAACGGUGGCAUAUCCGACUAUGAGGAUCACCAGGUUGCAUGUGGUAUUGACGGUAAAUUUGAGAAGCAGCAUCAAACUCCUCGAUGUUGCUCUUAUCAUAUGGUGUAAAUAGAUUUCGAAUAAAGCAAUCGCUAUGAGAAUUUUUUUGAGGGAGAGGAUGUUGACAGUGUAUAGUUAGAUGUAAGAAGAUAUAAUCAUGAAGUGUGAGAGAUGGCAACAGUAUGGCAACAUGGUGGAAUGUACUGUUGUGCUCACCAAUGAAGGUUAGUCUUUCUUUCUGCUGCAGCCAGUCGAUUAUGCAAAAACUAUACCUAAUAUCUAUGUAGGUACGCCCAAAUAUAUAUAAGUGGGUGUUGUUAACACUGAGUUUGUAUUUAUUAAUGGGCAUACAUGUUUAAUUUCCUUUUUCUUUUAUUUUUGAUCUGAUCAGGACUUGAGAUCUGGAAAGGAUCACAACAAGGAUAUAAAUUUACGCAUAGCACAACUAUGGUUACUUUUUUACUAAUAAUUUUAUAGAUAUCUACAUACUAAUAGUGGUCGUCUUUUCAUUCGUGAGAAAACAUAUGCAAUGUUCCAUCCUGUCUUAUGUGAAACUUUUAUCCACAACUGAUUGAACUAAAAUGUCAUGAAACAUCUAUACUAAUUUGUUUUCUUAAAUUCUUUAGUUAGAAUCCAUCUCUUCUAUGUGAAUAGAGACGAACCACGAUUAUUCUAGCAAACUAUGGCCUCGACAGACACUCACUAUCAUUUCUACGUUUAAUUAGAGUGACCGAGGCAAUUAGAAUGAAAUGAUCAUGCAUUCUAUCUUCAAUAUGACAAAUGACAAUUCAAGUGGAGAAAGAGUCAUUAAGUAUAGGAGCCAUUAGUGUACAUAUUUGAUUUUACCAAGAAACCCAAUGAUUAGAUAUGCAAAAGAUGAUGCUAUGAGGAAAUAAACAUGCAAAAUUUAGUGAAAAAGUAUAUUGUUGUACAUGAGGCCACUCAUUUCAUGCAAUUGUCCACUCAUUGUCACUUACCAUUGGUUUUACUAACAAUAUACAGAUUGCAAAACAAUUUCUAUAAAAUAAGACCAUCUUUCUAAAUCUCACCUCAUCUCAAUCAAUCAAUCAUCAAUCAUCAAACUAUCAAGCCAAGACUAAUAAAGCAAGGUGUGUUUCUCUGACUUUUUUUUAUCCAUUCACAUGCGUCUCCUAUACUCAAAAUAAAAGAGGCGAUACUAAUUCUUAUUCUCAUGUCAAAGUUUUGUUUGGCGAGCCACGAUAACAAAAUAGCCCAGCUAUCCUGUUCGAGGAUCAUUUUCUAAUGCAUAAUAACCCAUUGAGCCCUUGAAUAUUUAAACUGUUGUCAUAUAUACUAAAUGAUUAGAAUAUCCUUGACAUGUGAUAAAACAUGUUUCAAUAUAUUUACUGCAACAAAAUAUAAUGUAAUAUUUAAAAA
Long non-coding RNA from Hordeum vulgare subsp. vulgare (domesticated barley), 4003 nucleotides. RefSeq lists it as uncharacterized. NCBI's taxonomy places the organism in Eukaryota, Viridiplantae, Streptophyta, Magnoliopsida, Poales, Poaceae. The record is from RefSeq and is a predicted model, not a curated record. The transcript is spliced from 8 exons.